GACGAACGCUGGCGGCGUGCCUAAUACAUGCAAGUCGAACGCUGAAGGAGGAGCUUGCUUCUCUGGAUGAGUUGCGAACGGGUGAGUAACGCGUAGGUAACCUGCCUGGUAGCGGGGGAUAACUAUUGGAAACGAUAGCUAAUACCGCAUAAUAGUAGAUGUUGCAUGACAUUUGCUUAAAAGGUGCAAUUGCAUCACUACCAGAUGGACCUGCGUUGUAUUAGCUAGUUGGUGGGGUAACGGCUCACCAAGGCGACGAUACAUAGCCGACCUGAGAGGGUGAUCGGCCACACUGGGACUGAGACACGGCCCAGACUCCUACGGGAGGCAGCAGUAGGGAAUCUUCGGCAAUGGACGGAAGUCUGACCGAGCAACGCCGCGUGAGUGAAGAAGGGUUUCGGAUCGUAAAGCUCUGUUGUAAGAGAAGAACGAGUGUGAGAGUGGAAAGUUCACACUGUGACGGUAUCUUACCAGAAAGGGGCGGCUAACUACGUG
RNAcentral lists this ribosomal RNA (495 nucleotides) under uncultured bacterium. RNAcentral's name for it is "partial 16S ribosomal RNA". It matches the Rfam family "Bacterial small subunit ribosomal RNA", at positions 28 to 507 of the family's 1533-position model. The record is from RNAcentral.